CCCUUAGAUGUUCUGGGCAGCACGCGCGCUACAAUGUCUUCGCAAACGGAUGCAUUCUCGAAGGAGAAUGCCAAUCUUGGAAUCUAUGCCUUGGUCGGGACAGUUGCUUGCAAUUUUUCGACUCGAACCAGGAAUUCCUUGUAAUCGUGAUUCAUCACAUCACGAUGAAUACGUCCCUGCCCUUUGUACACACCGCCCGUCGCUCCUACCGAUCGAAGAGUUAGGUGAAUUGUUUUGAUCGAUAAGAUUUGACUAUGGUCAACUCUCGUUGUGAAAUUCUGUGAAUCUGACUGUUUAGAGGAAGGAAAAGUCGUAACA
Molecule: ribosomal RNA, 318 nt
Filed under: uncultured eukaryote
Lineage: Eukaryota
Description: partial 18S ribosomal RNA
Rfam family: Eukaryotic small subunit ribosomal RNA
Source: RNAcentral